UUCCACAGCUACUGGUCUGCAACUGCUCAUAUGAUAGCAUUUGUAGCAUUCCUCUGUGGGAAAGAAACUGUUACACAAUUUAAUGCCUCUUUCUUAGCCAAACUGAAAGGGGAAGAAUGUGCGUGACAGACACAA
Small nucleolar RNA from Mesocricetus auratus (golden hamster), 135 nucleotides. NCBI's taxonomy places the organism in Eukaryota, Metazoa, Chordata, Mammalia, Rodentia, Cricetidae. The record is from Ensembl.